AUUGAAGAGUUUGAUCAUGGCUCAGAUUGAACGCUGGCGGCAAGCCUCAUACAUGCAAGUCGAACGAGAAAGCAUCUUCGGAUGUGAUUAAAGUGGCGGACGGGUGAGUAAUACAUAGGAAUCUACCCAAUGGCGGGGGACAGCUCGAGGAAACUCGAAUUAAUACCGCAUAAUCUCUACGGAGUAAAGAGGGCUUCGGCUCUCACCAUCGGAUGAGCCUAUGCAAGAUUAGCUUGUUGGUAAGGUAAUGGCUUACCAAGGCUACGAUCUUUAGCUGGUUUGAGAGGAUGACCAGCCACAUCGGGACUGAGACACGGCCCGGACUUCUACGGAAGGCAGCAGUAGGGAAUAUUGGACAAUGAGCGAA
RNAcentral lists this ribosomal RNA (367 nucleotides) under Gammaproteobacteria bacterium. RNAcentral's name for it is "bacterial SSU rRNA". It matches the Rfam family "Bacterial small subunit ribosomal RNA", at positions 1 to 379 of the family's 1533-position model. Lineage: Bacteria; Pseudomonadati; Pseudomonadota; Gammaproteobacteria. The record is from RNAcentral.